Molecule: ribosomal RNA, 518 nt
Filed under: Phasmarhabditis sp. 2 ITDL-2014
Lineage: Eukaryota; Metazoa; Nematoda; Chromadorea; Rhabditida; Rhabditidae
Description: eukaryotic LSU rRNA
Rfam family: Eukaryotic large subunit ribosomal RNA
Source: RNAcentral
AGUGGAACCGGAGAGAGUUGACGAAGCAUCUGUGGUGAAGACUUUCGUUGUUGCUUUUAGUGAUUUCGUUUGUUGGAUCUGCUUUGGCUGCGUUGGUGGGGUUAUUGGUGUCAGUUGAAGCGUGUAGCGUUGCCCACUUCGGUGGUGUCUUGCUUGCGUGAAGACCGGUCACUGGUAGUCUUUAGCUUUGCUUGCAAAGCACCAAUGUUCAAGUCGACCACCUUUCCGACCCGUCUUGAAACACGGACCGAGGAGUGUAGCUAGUGCGCGAGUCAAAGGGUGUUAAACCCCACGGCGAAAUGAAAGUAAAGGUCAGUUAACUGGCUUAACAUAGGAGUUGUUCUUCUGAGCAAUGCACUAUGGCCCUGUCUUGAAAGCUUGCUUUCGGGCAGAGGAAGAGCGUACUGGUUGCGACCCGAAAGAUGGUGAACUAUGCUUGAGCAGGACGAAGCCAGAGGAAACUCUGGUGGAAGUCCGUAUCGGUUCUGACGUGCAAAUCGAUCGAUAGACUUGAGUAU